Molecule: ribosomal RNA, 468 nt
Filed under: uncultured bacterium
Lineage: Bacteria
Description: partial 16S ribosomal RNA
Rfam family: Bacterial small subunit ribosomal RNA
Source: RNAcentral
GACGAACGCUGGCGGCGUGCUUAACACAUGCAAGUCGAACGGAAAGACCCUGCUUUUGUGGGGUGCUCGAGUGGCGAACGGGUGAGUAACACGUGAGUAACCUGCCCUUGACUUUGGGAUAACUUCAGGAAACUGGGGCUAAUACCGGAUAGGAGCUCCUGCUGCAUGGUGGGGGUUGGAAAGUUUCGGCGGUUGGGGAUGGACUCGCGGCUUAUCAGCUUGUUGGUGGGGUAGUGGCUUACCAAGGCUUUGACGGGUAGCCGGCCUGAGAGGGUGACCGGCCACAUUGGGACUGAGAUACGGCCCAGACGCCUACGGGAGGCAGCAGUGGGGAAUAUUGCACAAUGGGCGGAAGCCUGAUGCAGCAACGCCGCGUGCGGGAUGACGGCCUUCGGGUUGUAGACCGCUUUCGCCUGUGACGAAGCGUGAGUGACGGUAAUGGGUAAAGAAGCACCGGCUAACUACGUG